AUUUUAGCUGUGCCAAUCAGCCACAGUUCCCCUGCCUCACACGAACAAGGCCACUCUGAUUGCACCUAUAAGUCUUUCUUCCCAUACAAGUUCGGGGAAAGCUGAACAGAGUGGAAAAACCCGCAGCCGCUGCCAGCCCCUCACAGCCGCUGCCAGCCCCUCACAGCCGCCCACCCGCCCGGGACGCCUCGCGCGACCGCUCGCGAUGAACCCGCCAAAAGCGGCGGCGGCGCCCCCGACUGCCCGCAGCCCCAUCCCGCCCAACGUCCCCCGACGACGGGCCGGGAGAAGCGAGGACAAGCCCGGCGCAGGCCGGCGGAAAACCUAACCGCACCCGUCCUGCCGCCGCUGAUCUCAGCCCCAGUACCUGGAAUGCAGAAAAUAUCUGGGGGGAAAAAAAAAGUAUGAAAAAAAUCUUCCUGCAAGUUUGUAGAAAAGGAUUAUUCUUGAGAAAACAUUUACAGUUUCUCUGCAAUGGUUUUGGGAUCUCAAAAGCCAAGGUGCUGCAUCAUGAAUAGUGAAGUUCUGGUUCAUCCAGUGCUGAAUGCUGAUCACCACAUUCUCCCAUUAAAACUGAAAAGGAACAAAUAUCCUGAGAAAGGAGGCAUUCAAAGAUUUGUAGAAGUGAUGCAGCUUAUGAUGUGCUUCAGCAGAGUAAGUUAAUUUUAGUUAAUUUUCAGAGGCUAUCACUAAUAACUUAUUUUUUUUUUUACAGAAACAUUUUUAACUGUGUGCAAGCAGCACUUGUUCAGGUCUAAGAAACAGAAAAAAGGGAAUGUUAGCCUAGAGAGGAGGAAGUGGGCAUGUUGGAAUUCAGUGAAUUCCUGGAGUAUGUUGAAAUUUAGACAGUGAUUUUUAUCUUAAGUAUUAAGAUGCUGCAGGAUGGUUUUCUUGUUUGUUUUGGGUUUUUAACUAUCCGUGUCAGACAAAUCUGUAUGCAAAAUGAUGCUUUUUGUUUAUGGUGAUUUAUUCUUUGACAAAAAAAUAGUGUAUGAUUUUGAGCAUUGAUUUGAUUUUUGUUGUA
Molecule: long non-coding RNA, 1024 nt
Organism: Columba livia (rock pigeon)
Lineage: Eukaryota; Metazoa; Chordata; Aves; Columbiformes; Columbidae
Exons: 3
Source: RefSeq, a predicted model, not a curated record